RNAcentral lists this ribosomal RNA (452 nucleotides) under Neisseria meningitidis. Its description in RNAcentral is "bacterial SSU rRNA". It matches the Rfam family "Bacterial small subunit ribosomal RNA", at positions 30 to 476 of the family's 1533-position model. The record is from RNAcentral. Lineage: Bacteria; Pseudomonadati; Pseudomonadota; Betaproteobacteria; Neisseriales; Neisseriaceae.
AUUGAACGCCGGCGGCAUGCUUUACACAUGCAAGUCGGACGGCAGCACAGAGAAGCUUGCUUCUUGGGUGGCGAGUGGCGAACGGGUGAGUAACAUAUCGGAACGUACCGAGUAGUGGGGGAUAACUGAUCGAAAGAUCAGCUAAUACCGCAUACGUCUUGAGAGGGAAAGCAGGGGACCUUCGGGCCUUGCGCUAUUCGAGCGGCCGAUAUCUGAUUAGCUAGUUGGUGGGGUAAAGGCCUACCAAGGCGACGAUCAGUAGCGGGUCUGAGAGGAUGAUCCGCCACACUGGGACUGAGACACGGCCCAGACUCCUACGGGAGGCAGCAGUGGGGAAUUUUGGACAAUGGGCGCAAGCCUGAUCCAGCCAUGCCGCGUGUCUGAAGAAGGCCUUCGGGUUGUAAAGGACUUUUGUCAGGGAAGAAAAGGCUGUUGCUAAUAUCAGCGGCUGA